AACGAACGCUGGCGGCAUGCCUAACACAUGCAAGUCGAACGAGACCUUCGGGUCUAGUGGCGCACGGGUGCGUAACGCGUGGGAACCUGCCCUUAGGUUCGGAAUAACUCCCCGAAAGGGGUGCUAAUACCGGAUAAUGUCUUCGGACCAAAGAUUUAUCGCCUUUGGAUGGGCCCGCGUUGGAUUAGCUAGUUGGUAGGGUAAAAGCCUACCAAGGCGACGAUCCAUAGCUGGUCUGAGAGGAUGAUCAGCCACACUGGGACUGAGACACGGCCCAGACUCCUACGGGAGGCAGCAGUGGGGAAUAUUGGACGAGGGGCGAAAGCCUGAUCCAGCAAUGCCGCGUGAGUGAUGAAGGCCUUAGGGUUGUAAAGCUCUUUUACCCGGGAUGAUAAUGACAGUACCGGGAGAAUAAGCACCGGCUAACUCCGUG
RNAcentral lists this ribosomal RNA (433 nucleotides) under uncultured bacterium. RNAcentral describes it as "partial 16S ribosomal RNA". It matches the Rfam family "Bacterial small subunit ribosomal RNA", at positions 29 to 507 of the family's 1533-position model. The record is from RNAcentral.